This is a long non-coding RNA of Cyprinus carpio carpio, 1458 nucleotides long. The record is from Ensembl. NCBI's taxonomy places the organism in Eukaryota, Metazoa, Chordata, Actinopteri, Cypriniformes, Cyprinidae.
GUGAAACUUAAAAUGACACAUACAGUACAUAUCUGAAUUGGUGACCUUUUGUUCUUUAGUGAUUUGCAUUGUGCUACAAGAAGAAUUGUUAUGAUGCGCAACAUGAUGUCACAACAUUAAGAAAAAAAGGGUGGGCACACUGAUGAGGAAGGCAUGCUACACAUCCUUUGCACACCUUCAUUCAUAUUCUGUUAUCAUGCAGCCUGCAGUCUCUUGUGCAUUGAUACUGAUGUUUUCCCUGCAUCUUUGCUGUAAUGCAUUACAAAAUGGAACAUGCAACAACUUCACAGUGGCAUUUAUAGAGACUGCAGAAAAAGUGUCUUGCUUUAAGAUGAUGGAUGGACAUGGCCCAGUUUGUACAUCUCACAAUUCAACCCAGUCAUGUCAGAUAGACUAUAGAGAUGGCAAGACAUGCAUAAAGUGGCCAGUAGACACCGACAUCUUAUGUGUAAAAGAUUCUGAUGAGAUUCCUAACCAGCUAAAUACUGAUGAAAUCAACUGUGCCCAUGACCAAGAAUCUAUCAGUUGCAAUGGAGAGUACAAAUCUGACUCAGUCUCAGAAUCUGGAGAUUCUGCAUCAACCCUAUCAUUGAGCAUUCUUCUAAUUACAGCUGCUAUUACCGUUGUCCAGUGGGUGUCACUCUGACACUACUAAUAGUUUAUAAUAGUGCUGUAUAUAGUCAGGGGUGCACAGAAGUUUUUCAGCCUGGUUCUUAUAACAGCACUUUGAGAUUUGGUUUGGUCCUCACACUGCCCAUAGUGUGACCCGUUAAAUAUAACUAUUAGAAAAUACUUAAUAAUAGCGAUAAUAAUAUUAUUGCACUUUAUUUGUUUAGUUUUUUCAAUAAAAUAAUAAUCAAAAUAAUAAAGUGUGAUAAUACUAUAGUUUUUUAAAAUACAAAAUGUGUAUUAAAUAAAAAUACAAUUAUUUUAUACUAAACAUCAAAUAAAAUGCUAAUAUUUACUUUUUUAAAUAUGAAUUUUUCAUCAUUUUCCAACUUAAAAUCAACAAGCUUUUAUUCUGGCGCUGCGCUGCCGAUUGAAGCGCGUCAGUGAAUGAAAUGUCACAGUUUUGCAUUGUGCUUUGAAAAUGGCAGCAGAUAGCUUAGAAUAGAUUCAUGAUUUCAGUUCGAAUAGAAAUCUUAUACAUGUACAGUAUUACAGUUUGUCGAUUUAAAAUAGUAGGCUAAUUGUGCAUUAACAUAUGGUCGGUACGCAAAUAAGCAGUAUGAAAUUAUUUACACGGCGCCAUUUUUUAUUUUUAUUUUUGUCACGCAUGCGCACCACUUAUGUGCACCCCUGUAAGUGUAUAGUGCUCUAUACACUACUUUACUAGUUUAUAGAAUAGAUCGGCUACGUUACAAUACUUAAAAAAAAAGAAUGUUGAUGUGUUUGAAUAAACCAUCUAUAAUAAAAAUUGAAAUAUUCAGUAAAAAUAAGAAUUGUCCAUUAUUGUCC